UAUCAUGGGUAGUCUGGCAAAGCAUUGCAUCAUGGGUAGUCUGCAAAGCAAUGUAUCAUGGGUAGUCUGGCUACAACUUGCAUCCUUUAGCGAGGAUCCAUUGGAGGGCAAGUCUGGUGCCAGCAGCCGCGGUAAUUCCAGCUCCAAUAGCGUAUAUUAAAGUUGUGCAGUAAAAAGCUCGA
Molecule: non-coding RNA, 182 nt
Filed under: Nematostella vectensis (starlet sea anemone)
Lineage: Eukaryota; Metazoa; Cnidaria; Anthozoa; Actiniaria; Edwardsiidae
Description: Eukaryotic small subunit ribosomal RNA
Rfam family: Eukaryotic small subunit ribosomal RNA
Source: Rfam by way of RNAcentral